RNAcentral lists this transfer RNA (66 nucleotides) under Peregriana peregra. RNAcentral describes it as "tRNA-Leu". The record is from RNAcentral. Lineage: Eukaryota; Metazoa; Mollusca; Gastropoda; Lymnaeidae.
UUUAAUUUGGCAGAUUUUAUGCGUUUGAUUUAGAAUCAUAUUAUAACAUUUUUUUGUUAGUUUCAA